RNAcentral lists this transfer RNA (59 nucleotides) under Typosyllis sp. patternB. Its description in RNAcentral is "tRNA-Ser". The record is from RNAcentral. Lineage: Eukaryota; Metazoa; Annelida; Polychaeta; Phyllodocida; Syllidae.
AAGUAGUAUAAAUGGGCUUCUAACCUAUUUUAAAGAGAUGCAACUUCUCUUACUCUAUA